Ribosomal RNA from Sinocyclocheilus anshuiensis, 117 nucleotides. The record is from Ensembl. Lineage: Eukaryota; Metazoa; Chordata; Actinopteri; Cypriniformes; Cyprinidae.
AGCCACAGCCAUAUCACCCUGCAGCCCAAGACUGGUUGCCCACUGAAGCUAAGUAGGGUUGAGCCUGGUCAGUACCUGGAUGGGAGACCUCCUGGGAAGACUAGGUUGUUGUUGGAA